CUUUUUCGCCCCGCCCUUCAAAUGCGAAAGCGACUGCCUUCUUGGUCCAAGCACAAAUGUGGAUCACUGAACACAGUACUGGAAGCGCCAUUUGCAGAUAAGGAUGCUACAUUAAAGGAAUCGUGUGCAGCAUGAAAAGAUUAGAAUCGAGCUGCACCUAAGAAAAAAAUCCCAAAGUUACUUUCAAAAGUAUGUGUUAUCUGCCAGUCACAGAGGGGAAAAGCACCUAGGGUGAACUCCAAUUUUUUAAUGAGGACCUUGAUCAGGACCACAAAGCCUGAAACAUUUAUUUUAAUGCAGAAACACAGCCCCUAGUUACACUGAUUGCAUUUGGGAAAAUUGGAGGGUUUUUUCGUCCUUAGUUUUUUUUAUUAAAUUACAGGAUAUGGUUUUCGAUUACUAAGUAUUCGAAAUCCUCAUACCAGCAACAGAAAUGAACCACUUCCAAAUUCUAAGACACAAAAGACCAAAGAGAAGCAAAAGCGAUACAAAUUAAUAUGUGCCCCUCUCCUUUCUGCUCUAAGGGAAUCUACAAACCAGUAUCACAUUUAGGAGUCAAAGUGUUAAUUCUUCAGCAUUCCUGACAACUAGAAAGCACAUUCACUGAAGGCUGAAGGUGAGGGAGUGGAUGGUUUAACUUUAAUAUCUGAAGAAUGGCGCCAAUAGAGGAAAGAAAACCAUCCAAUCUCAGUAAGGAUUAAUGCAAAUCUGGCUAGAAAAAGCCACCAGGUAAUCCAAGGGUUCACUGUGGAAGAACUCAUGAAAAGUACUCUGAAGUAUACACAACAGGUCUAAACAUCUCCCUUGUCGUAAGUAGUUGUGUAAAAUUCAAGAUAAAGAUUUAGUCUCAUCUUUUAAUGUCAGUUUUUUCCCCCAUGUUAAAGGGAAUGAGGAGGAGUCCUCUUUUAUUCCCCCACAAGAAAAAGGGAGCCACAUUAAUAUGUGUAUAUUCCCAUAACUCUAAUGUAAGUGCGGAUCUCCAAAGCCUAGGGAUUUUUCCGUAAAAGAGAGUGGGCCGUUCUGGUUACCCUUUUAUUAGAAGGGUAUUCCACCACAGAGAGCCGGAGGUUUUCCAGAUGUGUGUAAGAGAGCAGGUGCGCAAGGCAAGCAAAUGAGCGCAAACAGUAUUAUGGAAAACAUUUGAGAAGUUAGCUCCAUGAGGACUGUGGGCUCCACAAGAGGACUCGACUGGGUAGCCUGGUCUGACACAGGUACGUGAAAGCAGAGUAUUGCUUCAAAGCUGGAAACCUUCCAUAGGAGCCUCACACUGUUGGAAGAUGUACUGCUGCUGGUUAAGGUCAACCUGGGGUGCAAUGCUGCUGUCUUCAUCUUCGGUCCCGAAGUAAUGCUCAAUAAGAUCAAAGGCCUUUUGGUAGAUCUCCUGGUUUUCAUGACUCUGUAAGAACUCAAUUUUAUCCAGACCUAAAAUGAAGAAUAAAGGAAAAUCUUUAUUGAAAACU
RNAcentral lists this long non-coding RNA (1460 nucleotides) under Homo sapiens (human). RNAcentral describes it as "HSALNT0314179". The record is from RNAcentral. Lineage: Eukaryota; Metazoa; Chordata; Mammalia; Primates; Hominidae.